UGAGGAAUAUUGGUCAAUGGGUGCAAGCCUGAACCAGCCAUCCCGCGUGAAGGACGACUGCCCUAUGGGUUGUAAACUUCUUUUGUAUAGGGAUAAACCUACCCUCGUGAGGGCAGCUGAAGGUACUAUACGAAUAAGCACCGGCUAACUCCGUGCCAGCAGCCGCGGUAAUACGGAGGGUGCAAGCGUUAUCCGGAUUUAUUGGGUUUAAAGGGUCCGUAGGCGGACUUAUAAGUCAGUGGUGAAAGCCUGUCGCUUAACGAUAGAACUGCCAUUGAUACUGUAAGUCUUGAGUAUAUUUGAGGUAGCUGGAAUAAGUAGUGUAGCGGUGAAAUGCAUAGAUAUUACUUAGAACACCGAUUGCGAAGGCAGGUUACCAAGAUAUAACUGACGCUGAGGGACGAAAGCGUGGGGA
Molecule: ribosomal RNA, 415 nt
Filed under: uncultured bacterium
Lineage: Bacteria
Description: bacterial SSU rRNA
Rfam family: Bacterial small subunit ribosomal RNA
Source: RNAcentral